Molecule: ribosomal RNA, 406 nt
Filed under: uncultured bacterium
Lineage: Bacteria
Description: partial 16S ribosomal RNA
Rfam family: Bacterial small subunit ribosomal RNA
Source: RNAcentral
AUUGAACGCUGGCGGCAGGCCUAACACAUGCAAGUCGAGCGAGCGGCGGACGGGUGAGUAAUGUCUGGGAAACUGCCUGAUGGAGGGGGAUAACUACUGGAAACGGUAGCUAUUACAGCAUACCAUCAGAUGUGCCCAGAUGGGAUUAGCUAGUAGGUGGGGUAACGGCUCACCUAGGCGACGAUCUCUAGCUGGUCUGAGAGGAUGACCAGACACACUGGAACUGAGACACGGUCCAGACUCCUACGGGAGACAGCAGUGGAGAAUAUUGCACAAUGGGGGCAAGCCUGAUGCAGCCAUGCCGCGUGGGUGAUGACGGCCUUCGGGUUGUAAACUCCUUUCACCAUCGACGCGGUAGAUGGAGAAGAAGCACCGGCUAACUACGUGCCAGCAGCCGCGGUAAUAC